RNAcentral lists this transfer RNA (94 nucleotides) under Klebsiella terrigena. Its description in RNAcentral is "Raoultella terrigena tRNA-seC(tca)". It matches the Rfam family "Selenocysteine transfer RNA". The record is from RNAcentral. Lineage: Bacteria; Pseudomonadati; Pseudomonadota; Gammaproteobacteria; Enterobacterales; Enterobacteriaceae.
GGAAGAUCGUCAUCUCCGGUGAGGUGGCUGGACUUCAAAUCCAGUUGGGGCCGCCAGCGUCCCGGGCAGGUUCAACUCCUGUGAUCUUCCGCCA